UACAGAGGGGGCAAGCGUUGUUCGGAAUUACUGGGCGUAAAGGGCGCGUAGGCGGCCUUCUAAGUCGAACGUGAAAUCCCCGGGCUCAACCCGGGAACUGCGUCCGAUACUGGAAGGCUAGAAUCCGGGAGAGGGAUGCGGAAUUCCAGGUGUAGCGGUGAAAUGCGUAGAUAUCUGGAGGAACACCGGUGGCGAAGGCGGCAUCCUGGGCCGGUAUUGACGCUGAGGCGCGAAAGCCAGGGGAGCAAACGGG
This 253-nucleotide ribosomal RNA is filed under the name uncultured bacterium. RNAcentral describes it as "partial 16S ribosomal RNA". It matches the Rfam family "Bacterial small subunit ribosomal RNA", at positions 524 to 776 of the family's 1533-position model. The record is from RNAcentral.